CAUAGACCCGGUCCUAUAAACAAAUAGAAAAGGAUAUAUCCAUCAGCAACCUAAUUUGAUGUAAAAUCUCCCAAAAAAAUCGAUGCAUCUUGAAAAAUCAAUGUAAGGUUCGUUUUCAGUUCACUUGGCUGAAAUUGAUGCUUUCCUCUUCCUUUUAGAAAGGUACUUCUUCUUCUCCAAUUUCCUAAAAAUGCUUUCUUUACUGCUAAAAUUUGUAGUCGAUGGAAUGGAAGGGGGUAAAAGGGAUGAUUAAUCCCAAAAAGCUAUCGAGAUUAGAGUUUACUGAAGAAGGUUGAAGAAAUGAAGUUUAUUUCUUCCCAGGAAGUUGAAAACGUUCUGAUUUUAGAGAAGAAAAUUAAGAUAUUAAAAGUUGUUAUUUGCACGUUAUGUGCUUUGUUCUUAACGUAUAUUUCAGGAAUCAUGAAGUGAAUGUACAUUCGUGUCUAUGCUAGAACUUAUGUUGAAGUAAAUCCAUUUUUCUAGUUGUAAUGAAGUUGAAGUAUUAUUUGUACCACGACUGCGUGCCUCCCAUCGUUCAUCGUGAUUUCAAGGCUCAAAACCUUUUAUUAGGAAAUAGUUACGAGCCAUGUUUAGCUUAUUUUGGACUUGCUAGACUCGUCGAGGAGGGAAAUACCUCAAUUUCAGCAAAUCUUCAAUUUGCUAGAUCUUAUGGCUACUUUGCUCCAGAUUUUCAAUGGGUUUUUCUUCAAUAUCAACAUUGGUAUCAGGGAAAAGAACUCAAGUUCCGAAACCUGCAAGAACAUCGAUGAGGAAUAAGUCGAAAUCAAGUGUAAUUAUUGACGGCGAAUUUAAUGAAACGAUAGAAUACGCUUGUAUGCUAAAGAUAACAGAGAAGAGUGAUGUUUUUAGCUUCAAAGUUUUGUUUCUAGAAAUUAUUACUGGGAAAAAUCCAGCUUACCCGUCCUUCCCUGAUAGCCAACACGUUAUACAAUGGGUUUGCGACCAUCUAAAGAGAAAGAAAGAUCUAGUUGAUGUGAUUGAUCCAAGGUUAUAAGGACAUCCUGAUACAUAAAUUCAAGAAAUGCUUCAAGCCCUUGGAAUAGCCUCGUUGUGUACUAGUAAUCGGGAUGAAGAUCGACCAACGAUAAAAGAUUAGUGGCAUUACUCAAGGAGAUUAUGCAUGAGCAUACAACCGGAAGUGAAGCAAUUUUGACGUUAUCCCUCGUACCAAACAACCCCUAAAGGUAUUUAGGCACAUUAUGCCAUUGUUUAAAUAAAUCAUUAAUAUCCAUGUUGGGCACAAUAUUUUUACACUUUUGUUUUUGGUGACAAAUUUGAUCCAUAGGACUAAGGGUGGAAAGAUACUACAAGUAAUGCAAGAAUACUUCAAAUUGUUUUAGUACCUUUCACCAAGUAGUAACUGUUACUUUUAUUGUUUUUCC
Capsicum annuum is the source of this 1403-nucleotide RNA transcript. It is a transcript of the gene named leucine-rich repeat receptor-like serine/threonine-protein kinase RGI4, with no coding region annotated. The transcript has 3 exons. Lineage: Eukaryota; Viridiplantae; Streptophyta; Magnoliopsida; Solanales; Solanaceae. The record is from RefSeq and is a predicted model, not a curated record.